AAUGAAAUGGCUGAAUUAUAGGCGAUAAAUUGUAAAUUUAUUUAUGAAUGUUAAUUCUUUCAUUA
Molecule: transfer RNA, 65 nt
Filed under: Staphylinoidea sp. 5 KM-2017
Lineage: Eukaryota; Metazoa; Arthropoda; Insecta; Coleoptera
Description: tRNA-Tyr
Rfam family: tRNA
About the family: Transfer RNA (tRNA) molecules are approximately 80 nucleotides in length. Their secondary structure includes four short double-helical elements and three loops (D, anti-codon, and T loops).
Source: RNAcentral